GAUUGGAGUAUUUGGUUGUAUUAAG
This 25-nucleotide unclassified non-coding RNA is filed under the name Botryllus schlosseri. Its description in RNAcentral is "Spliced Leader sequence". The record is from RNAcentral. Lineage: Eukaryota; Metazoa; Chordata; Ascidiacea; Stolidobranchia; Styelidae.